AUGGUGUCGUCCGCUGGGGGAGCGCCGUGGAGCCGGCUGAAGGGGCAGGUUGUGCUGGUGACGGGCGCCUCCUCCGGUCUCGGCCGCGAUUUCUGCCUCGACCUGGCGCGUGCCGGCUGCCGGGUCGUCGCCGUCGUGCGCCGCGCUGACCGCCUCCGCUCCCUCUGCGAUGAGAUCAACGCUUCCCCGGCCGCGGAUGCCAGCCAGCCAUUGGCGGUGGCCAUCGAACUCGACGUUGCCGCCGGAGGGUCCACUGUCGAGGCGGCGGUGCAGAGGGCCUGGGACGCCUUCGGCCGCAUUGACGUCUUGAUUAACAACGCUGGCCUCCGAGGAGGAAUACAUUCGUCACUGGAUUGGCCCGAGGAUGACUGGGAUAAACUCCACAAGACAAACCUUACCGGAUCGUGGCUCGUCGCCAAGCAUGUAUGUAGGCACAUGCGUGAUGCCAAGAUAAAAGGUUCAGUCAUCAACAUUUCGUCCGUUGCCGGUCUUCACCGUGGCGAUGUGCAUGGCAGCACCGGUUACGCAUCUUCCAAGGCGGCCGUGCAUGCUGUCACCAAGGUGAUGGCCUUGGAGUUAAGACCGUAUGGAAUUAGAGUGAACUCAAUUGCGCCUGGAAUCUUCCAGUCGGAGAUAACUGCUGCUCUAUUGCAAAAGAGAUGGUGGAACACCGUUACUUCAAAGAUCGUGCCACUUAAAACAUAUGGCACUACUGAUCCGGCACUGACAUCGCUAGUUCGUUUUCUAAUCCAUGAAACGUCAUUGUAUCUAACUGGCAACAUCUUCAUCGUAGACGCAGGCCUAACCCUACCUGGUGUUCCAUUAUUCUCUUCUCUGUAA
This 840-nucleotide ribosomal RNA is filed under the name Triticum aestivum (bread wheat). RNAcentral's name for it is "partial small subunit ribosomal RNA". Lineage: Eukaryota; Viridiplantae; Streptophyta; Magnoliopsida; Poales; Poaceae. The record is from RNAcentral.